AAUUUUCUCCAGUUGUCAGUAGGUCUACUCUAGAACUUUCUCCAGUUGUCAGUAGGUCUACUCUAGAACUUUCUCCAGUUGUCGGUAGGUCUACUCUAGAACUUUCUCCAGUUGUCAGUAGGUCUACUCUAGAACUUUCUCCAGUUGUCAGUAGGUCUACUCUAGAACUUUCUCCAGGUGUCGGUAGGUCUACUCUAGAACUUUCUCCAGGUGUCGGUAGGUCUACUCUAGAACUUUCUCCAGCUGUCGGUAGGUCUACUCUAGAACUUUCUCCAGAGAAUGUUCUCCUUUAUGG
Acanthochromis polyacanthus (spiny chromis) is the source of this 295-nucleotide long non-coding RNA. RefSeq lists it as uncharacterized. The record is from RefSeq and is a predicted model, not a curated record. Lineage: Eukaryota; Metazoa; Chordata; Actinopteri; Pomacentridae. The transcript has 3 exons.